CCUACGGGAGGCAGCAGUGAGGAAUAUUGGUCAAUGGACGAGAGUCUGAACCAGCCAAGUAGCGUGAAGGAUGACUGCCCUAUGGGUUGUAAACUUCUUUUAUAUGGGAAUAAAACGUUCCACGUGUGGGAUUUUGUAUGUACCAUAUGAAUAAGGAUCGGCUAACUCCGUGCCAGCAGCCGCGGUAAUACGGAGGAUCCGAGCGUUAUCCGGAUUUAUUGGGUUUAAAGGGCGCGUAGGUGGGUUGUUAAGUCAGUUGUGAAAGUUUGGGGCUCAACCGUAAAAUUGCAGUUGAAACUGGCAGUCUUGAGUACAGUAGAGGUGGGCGGAAUUCGUGGUGUAGCGGUGAAAUGCUUAGAUAUCACGAAGAACUCCGAUUGCGAAGGCAGUUCACUGGACUGCUACUGACGCUGAGGCUCGAAAGUGUGGGUAUCAAACAGGAUUAGAUACCCCAGUAGUC
This 460-nucleotide ribosomal RNA is filed under the name uncultured bacterium. RNAcentral describes it as "partial 16S ribosomal RNA". It matches the Rfam family "Bacterial small subunit ribosomal RNA", at positions 338 to 795 of the family's 1533-position model. The record is from RNAcentral.